Molecule: ribosomal RNA, 900 nt
Filed under: uncultured marine group I thaumarchaeote
Lineage: Archaea; Thermoproteati; Nitrososphaerota
Description: SSU rRNA
Rfam family: Archaeal small subunit ribosomal RNA
Source: RNAcentral
UCCUGCCGGACCUGACUGCUAUCGGAUUGAUACUAAGCCAUGCGAGUCUCUGCAGUAAUGCAAGGCAUACGGCUCAGUAACACGUAGUCAACCUACCCUAUGGACGAGAAUAAUCUCGGGAAACUGAGCAUAAUUCUUGAUAGAUCAUAAUGCCUGGAAUGGUUUAUGGUUAAAAUGAUUCGUCGCCAUAGGAUGGGACUGCGGCCUAUCAGCUUGUUGGUGAGGUAAUGGCCCACCAAGGCGAUUACAGGUACGGGCUCUGAGAGGAGAAGCCCGGAGAUGGGUACUGAGACACGGACCCAGGCCCUAUGGGGCGCAGCAGGCGAGAAAACUUUGCAAUGUGCGAAAGCACGACAAGGUUAAUCCGAGUGAUUUCUGCUAAAGAAAUCUUUUGCCAGUCGUAAAACCGCUGGUGAAUAAGGGGUGGGCAAGUUCUGGUGUCAGCCGCCGCGGUAAAACCAGCACCUCAAGUGGUCAGGAUGAUUAUUGGGCCUAAAGCAUCCGUAGCCGGCUUUGUAAGUUUUCGGUUAAAUCCAUGUGCUCAACGCAUGGGCUGCCGAAAAUACUGCAUAGCUAGGGAGUGGGAGAGGUAGACGGUACUCAGUAGGUAGGGGUAAAAUCCUUUGAUCUAUUGAUGACCACCUGUGGCGAAGGCGGUCUACCAGAACACGUUCGACGGUGAGGGAUGAAAGCUGGGGGAGCAAACCGGAUUAGAUACCCGGGUAGUCCCAGCUGUAAACGAUGCAGACUAGAUGAUGCAUUGGCAUAAUAGCCAUUGCAGUGUCUCAGGGAAGCCGUUAGGUCUGCCGCCUGGGAAGUACGUACGCAAGUAUGAAACUUAAAGGAUUGGCGGGGGAGCACCACAAGGGUGAAGCUGCGGUUCAUUGGAGUCACCGCCGG